GGCAGGAUAGCUCAGCUGGUUAGAGCGGCGGCUUCAUAAGCCGUAGGUCGCCGGUUCAAGUCCGGCUCCUGCU
RNAcentral lists this transfer RNA (73 nucleotides) under Planctomycetota bacterium. RNAcentral describes it as "Planctomycetes bacterium (bioreactor metagenome) tRNA-Met". It matches the Rfam family "tRNA". From Rfam's summary of the family: Transfer RNA (tRNA) molecules are approximately 80 nucleotides in length. Their secondary structure includes four short double-helical elements and three loops (D, anti-codon, and T loops). Lineage: Bacteria; Pseudomonadati; Planctomycetota. The record is from RNAcentral.